UUUAAAAAAAGAAAAUAGGCUGGAGUCGACACAGAAAAUUAAGAAGAGGCAAAAACGCUCACCCAUGAGACGUUUUCUAACUGCUCCCCGAUUUUUUUCUAAUUUAUUGUUUUUUCUUAUUUUUU
RNAcentral lists this non-coding RNA (125 nucleotides) under uncultured eukaryote. The record is from RNAcentral.